GGUUAAGUGACUAAGCGUACACGGUGGAUGCCUUGGCAGUCAGAGGCGAUGAAGGACGUAUUAACUUGCGAUAAGCCCAGAUUAGGCAGUAAAAACCACUUGAGUCUGGGAUUUCCGAAUGGGGAAACCCACUUACAUAAGUAAGUAUCGUUAUGUGAAUACAUAGCAUAACGAGGCGAACCGGGGGAACUGAAACAU
Molecule: ribosomal RNA, 198 nt
Filed under: Vibrio diabolicus
Lineage: Bacteria; Pseudomonadati; Pseudomonadota; Gammaproteobacteria; Vibrionales; Vibrionaceae
Also listed under: 1 other name
Description: partial 23S ribosomal RNA
Rfam family: Bacterial large subunit ribosomal RNA
Source: RNAcentral